UAGGGAAUCUUCCGCAAUGGGCGAAAGCCUGACGGAGCAACGCCGCGUGAGUGAUGAAGGUCUUCGGAUCGUAAAACUCUGUUAUUAGGGAAGAACAAAUGUGUAAGUAACUAUGCACGUCUUGACGGUACCUAAUCAGAAAGCCACGGCUAACUACGUGCCAGCAGCCGCGGUAAUACGUAGGUGGCAAGCGUUAUCCGGAAUUAUUGGGCGUAAAGCGCGCGUAGGCGGUUUUUUAAGUCUGAUGUGAAAGCCCACGGCUCAACCGUGGAGGGUCAUUGGAAACUGGAGAACUUGAGUGCAGAAGAGGAGAGUGGAAUUCCAUGUGUAGCGCUGAAAUGCGCAUAGAUAUGGAGUCACACCAGUGGCGAAGGCGACUUUCUGGUCUGUAACUGACGCUGAUUUUCGAAAGCGGGCGGAUAAAACAGG
Molecule: ribosomal RNA, 429 nt
Filed under: Actinomycetes bacterium
Lineage: Bacteria; Bacillati; Actinomycetota; Actinomycetes
Description: Actinobacteria bacterium partial 16S ribosomal RNA
Rfam family: Bacterial small subunit ribosomal RNA
Source: RNAcentral